This is a long non-coding RNA of Spinacia oleracea (spinach), 281 nucleotides long. RefSeq lists it as uncharacterized. The record is from RefSeq and is a predicted model, not a curated record. Lineage: Eukaryota; Viridiplantae; Streptophyta; Magnoliopsida; Caryophyllales; Amaranthaceae. The transcript has 3 exons.
GGAAGGGCGGCGAGUUUCUACGAAGAUACCCUUUCUAAGCCAAUCACCCGACUGUACUCAGAGACCAAAUUCAUCAGAGCUGCUUGCCUUUUCAAAGUCAAUUAAAUCCAAAUUUUCAGCAGCCUCAGCCAGGUAAACAUAUACAAGGAUUCAAUUUCAAAAGGUACCCAAGGUUUUAGGGAAAAGCUUCUUGCGCGCAAUAGCUCUGUUAAGGAGCUGAGUAAAGGAGUUCAGCGAGAGAUGACCUCUAGCAUAGCUGGUGUUGCACGAAUGAUUGAGCG